GACGAACGCUGGCGGCGUGCCUAACACAUGCAAGUCGAACGAGAUCCAUGGGAGCUUGCUCCCGGAAGAUCUAGUGGCGAACGGGUGAGUAACACGUGAGAAACCUGCCCUGGAGUGGGGGAAUAACUCGGGGAAACUCGAGCUAAUACCGCAUACCCUCGGAUGGUCGCAUGGCCGACCGAGGAAAGAUUUAUCGCUCUAGGAGGGUCUCGCGGCCUAUCAGCUAGUUGGUGGGGUAACGGCCUACCAAGGCAACGACGGGUAGCUGGUUUGAGAGAACGAUCAGCCACACUGGGACUGAGACACGGCCCAGACUCCUACGGGAGGCAGCAGUGGGGAAUCUUGCGCAAUGGGCGAAAGCCUGACGCAGCAACGCCGCGUGCGGGAUGACGGCCUCGU
This 399-nucleotide ribosomal RNA is filed under the name uncultured bacterium. RNAcentral's name for it is "bacterial SSU rRNA". It matches the Rfam family "Bacterial small subunit ribosomal RNA", at positions 28 to 420 of the family's 1533-position model. The record is from RNAcentral.